This 520-nucleotide ribosomal RNA is filed under the name uncultured Glomus. Its description in RNAcentral is "SSU rRNA". It matches the Rfam family "Eukaryotic small subunit ribosomal RNA", at positions 569 to 1092 of the family's 1831-position model. Lineage: Eukaryota; Fungi; Glomeromycota; Glomeromycetes; Glomerales; Glomeraceae. The record is from RNAcentral.
AGCAGCCGCGGUAAUUCCAGCUCCAAUAGCGUAUAUUAAAGUUGUUGCAGUUAAAAAGCUCGUAGUUGAAUUUCGGGGUUAGUAGGCUGGUCGUGCCACUGGUAUGUACUGGUCUUACUGACUUCUCCUUUCUGAAGAACUGUAAUGCCAUUAAUUUGGUGUUGCAGGAAUCAGGACUGUUACUUUGAAAAAAUUAGAGUGUUUAAAGCAGGCUAACGCUUGAAUACAUUAGCAUGGAAUAAUGAAAUAGGACGUUCGAUCCUAUUUUGUUGGUUUCUAGGAUUGACGUAAUGAUUAAUAGGGAUAGUUGGGGGCAUUAGUAUUCAAUUGUCAGAGGUGAAAUUCUUGGAUUUAUUGAAGACUAACUACUGCGAAAGCAUUUGCCAAGGAUGUUUUCAUUAAUCAAGAACGAAAGUUAGGGGAUCGAAGACGAUCAGAUACCGUCGUAGUCUUAACCAUAAACUAUGCCGACUAGGGAUCGGAUGAUGUUAAUUUUUAAUGACUCAUUCGGCGCCUUACG